This is a long non-coding RNA of Capsicum annuum, 615 nucleotides long. RefSeq lists it as uncharacterized. Lineage: Eukaryota; Viridiplantae; Streptophyta; Magnoliopsida; Solanales; Solanaceae. The record is from RefSeq and is a predicted model, not a curated record. The transcript has 3 exons.
AAAUAUAUUUAAUUUCCACCGGCCUAAGAUUUUACCGACCCGAAUUCAUUCUUCUCUUGGUAAUAAUACGUAAUAGGGAUUUCCCUCAAUCCUCACUGUUGCCUCUCAAUCUCUCACUGCUCUAGUAUUCACAAGGUCCUCACUGUUGCCUCUCAUUCUUACAAACGCUGCUCAAGACAUAUCCGUGGGUUUAACAGCUCAACAGACCAAACGUUGCUGGCUUCUUGGGUUUUCCGUGACUCAACAGCGCAAUCAAGUGUCAAGAGAUGAAAUUUUAGCCAUGGACUCGUGAACAUGGGGAAGCAAGUUGUUAAUCAGAUCAGCUAUGCUGGUGCCAGAACUUCUGCUAACUCACCUUCCCUCUCUACCAGGUCUUAGCUCGAGUGCGCCUCAGCUUGUUUGACUCGGGCAAUUGUUGGAGCUUCUAAUGUAGCAUUUGGACAUUCAUGUAUUCAACGUUCACCUCUAUCUUUCUACAGUAGUUAUGUCUUUAUUAGUAUUCGGAGAAAGAUAUUAUUCAUUUAUGGUUAUUUCUCCGAUUCAUUUGACUUUUGGAUUGUAUUAGUAGUUCUUACACUAUUGACACCUGGUUUUGGGCAUGAUUAGUAUUUUGGA